AAGGUUUUGCAAGAGAACGCAAAGUUUCUUGGAGGAACGCAAAGUUUCUCGGAGGAACGCAAAGGUUUUCCAAGAGAACGCAAAGUUUCUUGGAGGAACGCAAAGUUUCUCGGAGGAACGCAAAGGUUUUGCGAGCGAGUGCAAAGUUUC
Ctenopharyngodon idella (grass carp) is the source of this 150-nucleotide long non-coding RNA. RefSeq lists it as uncharacterized. The record is from RefSeq and is a predicted model, not a curated record. Lineage: Eukaryota; Metazoa; Chordata; Actinopteri; Cypriniformes; Xenocyprididae. The transcript has 3 exons.